GGUAGCGUGGCCGAGCGGUCCAAGCGUGUAGGCUCCAGUCUCUUCGGGGGCGUGGGUUCGAAUCCCACCGCUGCCA
RNAcentral lists this transfer RNA (76 nucleotides) under Takifugu rubripes (torafugu). It matches the Rfam family "tRNA". From Rfam's summary of the family: Transfer RNA (tRNA) molecules are approximately 80 nucleotides in length. Their secondary structure includes four short double-helical elements and three loops (D, anti-codon, and T loops). Lineage: Eukaryota; Metazoa; Chordata; Actinopteri; Tetraodontiformes; Tetraodontidae. The record is from Rfam by way of RNAcentral.